The sequence is an unclassified non-coding RNA, 327 nucleotides long. Its record names the gene 7SK. It matches the Rfam family "7SK RNA". Rfam says of the family: 7SK was discovered as an abundant small nuclear RNA in the mid-70s but a possible function has only recently been suggested. Two independent studies have found that 7SK RNA binds the CDK9/cyclin T complex (known as elongation factor P-TEFb). P-TEFb activates transcription by phosphorylating the C-terminal domain of RNA polymerase II. The record is from Ensembl.
GGAUAUGAGGGAAAUCUGGCUUUGACAUAUAUCACCUCAUUGAUUGUCAGGUUUAUUUGGCUGAUCUGGCUAGCUAAGCAGGUAUCCCACUCCUUCCUUGCUGCUUCAUAUGCAUUCCUCCUGAAGCUACAUGACCAAAGAGGGGCAACCUUCCAUAAUAGAGGAAGAAAGUCCUUUAGUCAAGGGUAUAUAAGUUACUGUCUUCUCUUGCUAAAAACCUCAAAACAGCUCUGAAGGUCCAUUUAUAGGAGAGUGUAAGGUAGUCAAGCUUACAAGACAGCAGACAUAUCCAAAUGAGGCACUGAGUGUGGCAGUCUGCCUUUCUCU